GACGAACGCUGGCGGCGUGCUUAACACAUGCAAGUCGAACGGAAAGGCCCCUUCGGGGGUACUCGAGUCGCGAACAGGUGAGUAACACGUGAGUAACCUGCCCUUGACUUCGGGAUAACUUCAGGAAACUGGGGCUAAUACCGGAUAGGAAUCCUUGCUGCAUGGUGGGGGUUGGAAAGCUUCGGCGGUUUUGGAUGGACUCGCGGCUUAUCAGCUUGUUGGUGGGGUAGUGGCUUACCAAGGCUUUGACGGGUAGCCGGCCUGAGAGGGCGACCGGCCACAUUGGGACUGAGAUACGGCCCAGACUCCUACGGGAGGCAGCAGUGGGGAAUAUUGCACAAUGGGCGGAAGCCUGAUGCAGCAACGCCGCGUGCGGGAUGACGGCCUUCGGGUUGUAAACCGCUUUCAGCAGGGGCGAAGCUUGUGGUGACGGUACCUGCAGAAGAAGCACCGGCUAACUACGUG
This 465-nucleotide ribosomal RNA is filed under the name uncultured bacterium. RNAcentral's name for it is "partial 16S ribosomal RNA". It matches the Rfam family "Bacterial small subunit ribosomal RNA", at positions 28 to 507 of the family's 1533-position model. The record is from RNAcentral.